Molecule: ribosomal RNA, 420 nt
Filed under: Fusobacteriota bacterium
Lineage: Bacteria; Fusobacteriati; Fusobacteriota
Description: Fusobacteria bacterium partial 16S ribosomal RNA
Rfam family: Bacterial small subunit ribosomal RNA
Source: RNAcentral
UGGGGGAUAUUGCACAAUGGGCGAAAGCCUGAUGCAGCGACGCCGCGUGGGGGAUGAAGGCCUUCGGGUUGUAAACUUCUUUUGCUCUGAACAAGGCAUGCCUUUGGGGUGUGUUGAGUGUAGGGGUUGAUUAGCGCCGGCUAACUACGUGCCAGCAGCCGCGGUAAUACGUAGGGCGCGAGCGUUGUCCGGAAUUAUUGGGCGUAAAGGGCUUGUAGGUGGCUGGUUGCGUCUGUCGUGAAAGCUCAUGGCUUAACUGUGGGUUUGCGGUGGGUACGGGCUGGCGUGAGUGCAGUAGGGGAGGCUGGAAUUCCUGGUGUAGCGGUGGAAUGCGCAGAUAUCAGGGGGAAUACCGGUGGCGAAGGCGGGUCUCUGGGCUGUUACUGACGCUGAGGAGCGAAAGCGUGGGGAGCGAACAGG